Molecule: long non-coding RNA, 1300 nt
Filed under: Heterocephalus glaber (naked mole-rat)
Lineage: Eukaryota; Metazoa; Chordata; Mammalia; Rodentia; Bathyergidae
Description: lncRNA (ENSHGLG00100041210.1)
Source: RNAcentral
AGAGUGAAAGCCCAGGCUAAAGAGCUUGUUCGCCUUUACCCCACCCUCUUGACCCAACGGACUUCGAGACAAGGCCAAGAACAAAACAAAAGCCCACAGAAGAGAGAGGAGGGAUCCUUUACCUCCUGUCCAGUGCAGUGUGAAGAGCUUUAAGGAGCUAAUUUGAAGAGCCUAAUAUGUGUCCCUUGGAGCUCCCUGAGCCUGACUGGAAAAACGUGUUGAAGGAAACAGGGAAGGAUGCUGUAUUGGGACAGCAAGUGCACUGUCACUUGUUGGAGAAUAAAAGAUGGAUAUUGAAGUCAUGGUAUGAAUGUUAACCUGGGAUCAUCUGAAAAGAAAGUUUGUCUGCUGGGCUUCUUCCAGAGUAAAAGUGCUUUUCCAAAAAGAAAGCUAAGAUGGUGUUCUUGGACACAAGAGAGGAGAAGUACCACUGGCUGGCUGCAGGAGGGAAAGCUGCAUUUGGAGAAGUCAGACAUCCCAAAAAAGAACACACAUGGUUUUGAAGAAGAGGGAGUCCUCCAGGAAGUUGACAGAAGGGGACUGUUCUAAUUCCAGCUAAUGAAUUAAGUGAAGAAAUGAAUAGUAUCAAAAAAUAAUUUCACAGGUCUAGACGAAAAUUCGCAAUGAAUGAUUUUUUAUAGUAAAUGAAUGAUCUUUUAGGGAAAACUAAAAUCUUACAGAUAUCUUCUCAAAAUAAAGUUAUAUUCAUGAUAUAAAAAUUAAACCCAAAUUGUUAAUUGCCACUGUGUUGCCCUUUUUUUUUUCCUCAAAGGACACAGAAUAUAUCUUUUUUUUUCUCCUCGUCCUCUUGUUAUUGUCUGAGACAGAGCAGAUACUUGAAUAAAUAUCUCUACAAUGAUGGAAUAAGUUCAAUCAGACCAAGAAAUAUGCAUUUAUAAACUCUACUGGAAGGAAGGACAAAGAAGCCGGGAGGGUAGAGGGUCUCCGUUUAUACCAUGUGUUAUAGUUUGUGUCUAGAUGUCUCCCCAAAGCCUCAUGAGGUUAUAGUUGGCUUUUUCAGAAGUGACUGAAUCUAGAGUGUGUGAUGCUGGGAUUAAGGGUGUGCAAUUACUGACCAGUACACUGAUUGGCUCGGCACCACCCUAAUCCCGGUAGUCUGCAUAAGAUAAAAGGGGUAGAAAGACACUGUUAAGGUUCCCUUGUUACUUUUGCUACCAUGUGGACACCAUGAACUGUUUCCUCUCUGUGAUGCCCCUCUGCCAUGUGCCACUUUGCCUUGGAGCCUGCCAUUUAAGGACUGAAACCUCUACAAGCUGUGAACUAAAUAAAUCCUUUCCCU